This 1142-nucleotide ribosomal RNA is filed under the name Yersinia enterocolitica. RNAcentral's name for it is "partial 23S ribosomal RNA". It matches the Rfam family "Bacterial large subunit ribosomal RNA", at positions 1790 to 2925 of the family's 2925-position model. Lineage: Bacteria; Pseudomonadati; Pseudomonadota; Gammaproteobacteria; Enterobacterales; Yersiniaceae. The record is from RNAcentral.
CUGGCUGCAACUGUUUAAUAAAAACACAGCACUGUGCAAACACGAAAGUGGACGUAUACGGUGUGACGCCUGCCCGGUGCUGGAAGGUUAAUUGAUGGGGUCAGCCGCAAGGCGAAGCUCUUGAUCGAAGCCCCAGUAAACGGCGGCCGUAACUAUAACGGUCCUAAGGUAGCGAAAUUCCUUGUCGGGUAAGUUCCGACCUGCACGAAUGGCGUAAUGAUGGCCAGGCUGUCUCCACCCGAGACUCAGUGAAAUUGAACUCGCUGUGAAGAUGCAGUGUACCCGCGGCAAGACGGAAAGACCCCGUGAACCUUUACUAUAGCUUGACACUGAACAUUGAGCCUUGAUGUGUAGGAUAGGUGGGAGGCAUUGAAGUGUGGACGCCAGUCUGCAUGGAGCCAACCUUGAAAUACCACCCUUUAAUGUUUGAUGUUCUAACUCGGCCCCAUAAUCUGGGGUGAGGACAGUGUCUGGUGGGUAGUUUGACUGGGGCGGUCUCCUCCCAAAGAGUAACGGAGGAGCACGAAGGUUAGCUAAUCACGGUCGGACAUCGUGAGGUUAGUGCAAAGGCAUAAGCUAGCUUGACUGCGAGAGUGACGGCUCGAGCAGGUACGAAAGUAGGUCUUAGUGAUCCGGUGGUUCUGAAUGGAAGGGCCAUCGCUCAACGGAUAAAAGGUACUCCGGGGAUAACAGGCUGAUACCGCCCAAGAGUUCAUAUCGACGGCGGUGUUUGGCACCUCGAUGUCGGCUCAUCACAUCCUGGGGCUGAAGUAGGUCCCAAGGGUAUGGCUGUUCGCCAUUUAAAGUGGUACGCGAGCUGGGUUUAGAACGUCGUGAGACAGUUCGGUCCCUAUCUGCCGUGGGCGUUGGAAGAUUGAGAGGGGCUGCUCCUAGUACGAGAGGACCGGAGUGGACGAAUCACUGGUGUUCGGGUUGUCAUGCCAAUGGCAUUGCCCGGUAGCUAAAUUCGGAAGAGAUAACCGCUGAAAGCAUCUAAGCGGGAAACUUGCCUCGAGAUGAGUCUUCCCUGGGGCUUUAAGCCCCCUGAAGGAACGUUAAAGACUAUGACGUUGAUAGGCUGGGUGUGUAAGUGCAGCGAUGCAUUGAGCUAACCAGUACUAAUGAUCCGUGAGGCUUAACCU